UACGUAGGGGGCAAGCGUUGUCCGGACUUACUGGGCGUAAAGCGUGUGCAGGCGGGUGGGUAUGUGGCGUGUGAAAGCUCUCAGCUUAUCUGGGAGAGGUCGCGGUAGACAGGCUGCCUGGAGGCUCGGAGAGGUCAGUGGAAUUCUCGGUGUAGUGGUGAAAUGCGUAGAUAUCGGGAGGAACACCAGUGGCGCAGGCGGCGUCCUGGACCGGCACUGACGCUGAGGAGCGAAAGCGUGGGGAGCGAUCCGG
This 253-nucleotide ribosomal RNA is filed under the name uncultured bacterium. RNAcentral describes it as "partial 16S ribosomal RNA". It matches the Rfam family "Bacterial small subunit ribosomal RNA", at positions 524 to 776 of the family's 1533-position model. The record is from RNAcentral.